CAGUAGCCACGGUAAUACGUAGGGUGCAAGCGUUAAUCGGAAUUACUGGGCGUAAAGCGUGCGCAGGCGGUUUUGUAAGACAGAGGUGAAAUCCACGGGCUCAACCUGGGAACUGCCUUUGUGACUGCAAGGCUAGAGUACGGCAGAGGGGGAUGGAAUUCCGCGUGUAGCAGUGAAAUGCGUAGAUAUGCGGAGGAACACCGAUGGCGAAGGCAAUCCCCUGGGCCUGUACUGACGCUCAUGCACGAAAGCGUGGGGAGCAAACAGGAUUAGAUACCCCUGUAGUCCCUGUCUCUUAUAC
This 301-nucleotide ribosomal RNA is filed under the name uncultured bacterium. Its description in RNAcentral is "partial 16S ribosomal RNA". It matches the Rfam family "Bacterial small subunit ribosomal RNA", at positions 509 to 807 of the family's 1533-position model. The record is from RNAcentral.